Molecule: ribosomal RNA, 476 nt
Filed under: uncultured bacterium
Lineage: Bacteria
Description: bacterial SSU rRNA
Rfam family: Bacterial small subunit ribosomal RNA
Source: RNAcentral
GAUGAACGCUGGCGGCGUGCUUAACACAUGCAAGUCGAGCGGGCAAUUUAUCUAGCACUGAUUACUUCAAAUGGAAAUCAUAAGUGUAAUCAUGAAUUUCUACCUUUAAUAAAGAAAAAAGAAAUUCAUGUACGCAAAUAGUGAUAACACAUUUUAGUGGAGUGAUGAGUGCUGGAUAAAUUGCUAGCGGCGGACGGGUGCGUAACACGUGGGUAACCUGCCCCUAUCACUGGGAUAACACACUGAAAAGUGUGCUAAUACCAGAUAAUAUAAGCUUUUGGCAUCAUUAGCUUAUCAAAGAAUUUCGGAUAGGGAUGGGCCCGCGUCUGAUUAGCUAGUUGGUGAGGUAACGGCUCACCAAGGCAACGAUCAGUAGCCGACCUGAGAGGGUGAUCGGCCACACUGGAACUGAGAUACGGCCCAGACUCCUACGGGAGGCUGCAGUCGAGAAUCUUGGGCAAUGCGCGAAAGCGUGA